RNAcentral lists this ribosomal RNA (497 nucleotides) under uncultured bacterium. Its description in RNAcentral is "partial 16S ribosomal RNA". It matches the Rfam family "Bacterial small subunit ribosomal RNA", at positions 28 to 507 of the family's 1533-position model. The record is from RNAcentral.
GAUGAACGCUGGCGGCGUGCCUAAUACAUGCAAGUCGAGCGAACAGACGCGGAGCUUGCUCCUCUCUCGUUAGCCGCGGACGGGUGAGUAACACGUGUAUAACCUACCUAUAAGACUGGUAUAACUUCGGGAAACCGGAGCUAAUACGGGAGAAUAUAUUGAACCGCAGUGUUCAAUAGUGAAAUACGGUUUUGCUGUCUCUUAUAGAUGCAUACGGGCCGCAUGAGCUAGUUGGUACGGUAACAGCUUACCACGGCGACGAUGCGUGGCCGAACGGUGAGGGUGAUCGGCGACAUGGGAACGGGGACAGGGACCAGACUCCUAAGGGAGGCAGCAGUAGGGAACGUGACGCAGUGGGGGAAAGCAUGACGGAACAACGCCGCGUGAGUGAUGAAGGUCUUCCGAUCGUAAAACUCUGUUAUUAGGGAAGAACAAAUGUGUAAGUAACUAUGCACGUCGUGACGGUACCGAGUCAGAAAGCCACGGCUAACUACGUG